UUGUUUUCUUCUUCUUCUCUUUAAUUAUUAAUGAUGCUUUGUUUUUAGUUGCUUUUUAUUUCCUCUUCCGCAGGUAAGUAACUCUUCCAACAGAAAAAAAAAAGAGGGAAAAUUCUGGCUUUUGUGCCUGUUUUGCUUUACUGCUUUGUUCCUCUCCUGCUGCUUUGCUCUGCCUCUUUUGCUUUACCACUUUGUAGAAUAUGAUAUUCUCAGAUGCUAGCAUUUGAUGUUGGUGAAUUAUGUGACCUUUGGUGGAGAGUGUGAGGCUCUGCGCUGAGCAAAUAGAUGCAGGCAGUUGGCUUUUAGUAGUAAUGAAGAACAUACAGGUGUUUCCCUCUUUUAAUAAGUAAUUAUAUGUAUAUAAUUGCUCUCUUUGGUGUCAGCUAAGUAGCCACUGUGUCAAGUUACAAGUGGUCAUUACUCCUAAGUUAACAUAUAAAAGAACUGUUCACUCCUAAGUUGCAACUGUUGUAUUUUUUGGAUUUUUUUUUAAAUUUUAGUAGGAAAAAAGUAUGAUUAAUUCAGUUAAGUGAUAUUGCCAUUAGACAGAUAGCUCGUUGUAGUUGCUUAUCUAAAUACUUAUUUGUUUGUGUCUAUAUCUAUGUGCAGUGGUUUUAAAAUGGAGAAUGUCAUUCAAACAAGUAGAUUUUUAAUAGCUUUCUUUGGACUUAGGAAGUUAUGCUUUGCGUUUCAAACAUAAUGAAAGAUACCAUGCGUUUCAAACUUCAAUUUCCAACUGUGGAACAUACCUUAUCGUCUAGAGUUUAUAGCUUGUGGAAAAUAAGAUUUGAUGUUAUAACCACUUUAGUUGUGGAUAAGAAUCCUUUCACUAUAUGUUAUAAGCUUUGAUGUUCUCUUUAUGGCAUGUGAUUAUUUAUAUGAUUGUUAUUUGGUAAAUUACUGAUGUGGAUAAACUUUAUAUCUAAUAUACUGGACAUUGUUAUGAUAGAAUGUUCUUUCAAUUUUAAUAUUGUAUGAGCAAAAUGAAAUGGAUUAGGAUACUGCAAAGGAGUAAUCACUUUAAUAAUAAGUAUUAUUUAAUGAAAUCUUCUACAUAUUCCUUAAUGUUCUUGUCAUUGAGUUUAAGUUGGAUUAUAGGUUCAAUUGUAUUUAUUGUUCCUUGACUGUGUUGUGUUGCAUGUAUGUACUAAAAUCCCCCAGCAUUGCAUCAAUAUCAGAUUGUUAUUCAUGUCACAUGAUGAAUGAGUAGUUUUCAAGUUUCUUAAUAAAGUCAAUCAAAGUGGAGAGCAGCAGUAUUCCUAUGAGUUGUAUUUCUUUGCACAGGUCAUACAGUAGCCAGUAAAAAUGGGAAGUAAAGGUCGAAUUCCACCCCCUCAUCUGAGGCGUCCUCUCCCUGGACCUGGCAUGGUACAUUCUGACCCAUUUGGUCUAGGAAUUCCUCCCCGUCCAGGUCCUUUUGCACAUUUUAUAUGUUGCCACCUCCAGAAAUCAUGGAACAAAAGCUUGCUGCACAGCAUGUAGAAAUGCAGAGACUUGGCACAGAAAACCAAAGAAUUGCUGCUACCCAUGAGACAUUGAGACAGGAACUUGCUGCUGCACAGCAUGAGUUACAGAUCUUGCAUGCUCAGAUAGGAGCUGUAACACCUGAAAGAGAACAACAAAUGAGGAGCCUUGCGGAUAAAAUAGCUAAGAUGGAAGCAGAACUGCAAGCUGGACAUUGUUAUAAUAGAAUGUUCUUUCAAUUUUAAAACUGUAUGAGCAAAAUGAAAUAGACUAGGAUACUGCAAAGGAGUAAUCACUUUGAUAAUAAGUAUUAUUUAAUGAAAUCUUCUACAUAUUCCUUAAAGUUUUUGUCAUUGAGUUUAAGUUGGAUUAUAGGUUCAAUUGUAUUUAUUGUUCUAGAGGCUACACUAGGUAUCAACUUUAGCACCCUUUCUCUUUCAAUUUUUUUUUUCAAAUGGUAAAUAAAUGCGUAUGAAAAUAUUUAAGGA
Molecule: long non-coding RNA, 1952 nt
Organism: Gossypium raimondii (Peruvian cotton)
Lineage: Eukaryota; Viridiplantae; Streptophyta; Magnoliopsida; Malvales; Malvaceae
Exons: 2
Source: RefSeq, a predicted model, not a curated record